UUUCAUAUUUACUUGUUGUCCACUGCCAGCUGCGCUUUCAGUCGUUGGUGUUAGAACGAAAUCAUAGGGGAAGAGCUCUGCAUUUGGCAAAUUCACGUAUUCCAAGGGUUACAGAUGCAAUGAUGUUGACAAUCCCGCUUCUUUUACGCCUGUCGUUAACUUUUUACGAUGAUCUGAGCAAAAACUACUAUUAAUAAUGAAGUUUCGACAUUCAUUUCAGCAAACUGAACAACACUUGAGCGGGAAGAUGAUGCAUGGUGGAAUUCAAUAGUAUGGUAAGAUCUUACUUUGCCAAUGUAUGGGACCGUUAGAUUAGCAAAAAGUGUG
Molecule: long non-coding RNA, 327 nt
Organism: Stylophora pistillata
Lineage: Eukaryota; Metazoa; Cnidaria; Anthozoa; Scleractinia; Pocilloporidae
Source: RefSeq, a predicted model, not a curated record